This 1628-nucleotide long non-coding RNA is filed under the name Chlamydomonas reinhardtii. RNAcentral's name for it is "long non-coding RNA (CREI_LNC000716)". Lineage: Eukaryota; Viridiplantae; Chlorophyta; Chlorophyceae; Chlamydomonadales; Chlamydomonadaceae. The record is from RNAcentral.
CAUCUUAACCAGCCAUGGUAACAGCCUUGUCACGGUCUACGAGGCACACCAGUAACCAUCACUUUGACGCCCGUUACAUGGCAGCCUUGUGCUUUGCUGAAGGCCAACCUCAGUACUAACGUAAGAACUAUGUAGUCCUACCGCUACUCCACAUGCUAGCCAUCUGUCAAGGCUUGAUAGCACGACAAGUGCAGAUGCUCAUGCAACACUUAUGCAACACUACCGCAAGUCCAUACGUACAUGCAACAAUACGCCUAGUCAUGUCUGCGUGUGAACGUGCAACUAGCCACUGGCAGCAACCACUUGCAUGUCUGCUGGGCACAACGUCUCUGACCCACCACCUUGACGCCCGCCGCCACCACAGCUACCAUGCCAAACUAUGCCACUGGCGCCGCCGCGCCCGCCUCCAUCUCUAGCGCCAGACAGCUGGUGUCACGCUGGCUCCUGUAGUUUUGCUUCCACCGGCAGCGCCUGCAUGCACGCGUGCACACACAUAGACACACCCAGUUAAUCGUCUGCCACAAGACGGGUAGGUGCCAAUGCAUGUCAAGGCCAGCCAUGGACAGAGUGCUUGGCAGUGCACGGGGCCUACUACACAAGGCGUGUCUGUGUGCACAUGUGCAUGUGUGUGCGUCCACACGUGUCACGGACACAUGUGUGUGCGUCCACACGUGUCACGGACACUCACCGUUGAUGAGCACAAUGCUGGAGGUGUAGGGGCAGUCCAGCCAACCGUACGGUCCAUAGGGUACAACAGGGGUUGGGCAGCAAGCUGUCGCGGGGCAGGGUGUGUGCGUGCGGAGGGGGGCGGGGUGGUAUGUGAGACACUAGGCGUACCGUGGCAAGGGAGCCAUAAAAACACCUUACAGCGAGCGCUGGUAAGGGAGGCAGCAGACAGUCACUAGUUGUAGGCGGGGGCUCCACCAGACAACCCAACACAGCGCGAGAAGAUGAACCAUGCACUGGCUUGCGAGGUACCACUAGGUUCAACGCAUCCCAUCGUCAUUCAACCUGCGGACUAACCUGCGGACUAACCUGCGGACUAUGGCGUGCGGGGCGAGGGUGAUGUUGACAGAACGCGAUGUUGAAUGGCGUUGUUGACGCCGGCCACCGAGACUUCUCGGUCGGACAUUUGAAGCGCAGCUGAUAGAUUAUGAGGCAUAGUCGUUUCUCUCACGUAAUAGCUGGCUGCAGCUGACGUGUGAGCAGCGUUGCCAAGCCGGUCAACGAGCAGUCAGCAGCGUGAGGACUCACGUCCCAAGCCAGCCAAGCAGCGUCUGCCGCCAGCUCUUGUUCUAAUGACAUUUGAGCUAGCAUAAAUUUGUGUUACAAAGAGAAGUAGCAAGCGCGAGAGAGCAAAGUGGGGGAGAGGAACAGAAGUGCAGCGGCACCGGCAUGAAGUGCAGUGUAUCAGUAUAUGUAUGGUACUAUAUCAGUGUAUGUGUAGUAGUAUCAGGGGCCGCUCUAUGCUGCUUGUUAAGUCAGGCCCGCGAGAACCCCAUGCAGGAACCCUGGUUACCCCUCGCGAAGGCCCCCGUUACCCCUGGCUUAGGGUCGUUACCACGCCCAAGGGUCCCUGUCACAAUGUCACACAGUCGGCCUACAGCCCCCAGACUUCCUCGUUCGCG